GACGAACGCUGGCGGCGUGCCUAAUACAUGCAAGUCGAACGCUGAAGGAGGAGCUUGCUUCUCUGGAUGAGUUGCGAACGGGUGAGUAACGCGUAGGUAACCUGCCUGGUAGCGGGGGAUAACUAUUGGAAACGAUAGCUAAUACCGCAUAAUAGUAGAUGUUGCAUGACAUUUGCUUAAAAGGUGCAAUUGCAUCACUACCAGAUGGACCUGCGUUGUAUUAGCUAGUUGGUGAGGUAACGGCUCACCAAGGCGACGAUACGUAGCCGACCUGAGAGGGUGAUCGGCCACACUGGGACUGAGACACGGCCCAGACUCCUACGGGAGGCAGCAGUAGGGAAUCUUCGGCAAUGGACGGAAGUCUGACCGAGCAACGCCGCGUGAGUGAAGAAGGUUUUCGGAUCGUAAAGCUCUGUUGUAAGAGAAGAACGAGUGUGAGAGUGGAAAGUUCACACUGUGACGGUAUCUUACCAGAAAGGGACGGCUAACUACGUG
This 495-nucleotide ribosomal RNA is filed under the name uncultured bacterium. Its description in RNAcentral is "partial 16S ribosomal RNA". It matches the Rfam family "Bacterial small subunit ribosomal RNA", at positions 28 to 507 of the family's 1533-position model. The record is from RNAcentral.